AAACACUGUGAUUGUGAAAUUAAGAUUUAUCAUCUGAUUACUGCUGUUUAAAUGGACAUUUUUGUUGAAUUAAAUAGAAAAAUGUAAAUUUUGGAACUUUUGCUUUUUAAUGGCAAACUUUUGGUUUAACAGAAAAAUUACAACCUUUCGAGCAUAUCCUCACUCGACUACAUUGCUGACAAAAAAUGCAAUUGAAUUGUGAAUAAUUUAGAAAUGUCAUCCUUGCUAUGAAAACUUGCAAUUUCUUGACUGUCUUUACAUUUUCAUCAUCAGUGGGUAUAACAAUUUAUACUAAUUCCGUCUUAGUUUUUUGAUUGAAUGUUAAGUUUUUGCACUGAAAAAUUGGUGGUGAUGAGAAUGCAAUCCUAGCCUCACUUGGGAUGUCAUGGCGUAGAAUUUUUGCCCGAAGAAGUUGGGCAAAUAGGGGAUAAAGGAAUAUUGUCAUAUUGUUUGAAAGUGAAGCAUUAUUUCAUUCAUCUAGUUCUCUUAGUGCGAGCAAGCUGAAGUUCUUCCACGACCAUAAGUGCAAGCCACAAAUAAGUUGAAUCCCAUAAGUGCCAUCCCCACAAGGUGGUUUCUUAUGCCGAACUUACCAUGUCGCUUUAAUAGGUUUUUGUAAUUAGUGGACUAAAUUGGUUAAUAUACACGUUAUUGCCACAAUGCUCUGUAUUGGCCCAUUGUCACGCUCAUAUUUCUAAUUAGUAUAUACCCAUAUUCACUUUAAAAGCUUGUUCAAUGACCUAGAAAACCUUUUAAAUAUCAAAUAUUUAGUAAGGGGUCUUGUUAAAGCCCUUGUUCAAUGACCUAGAAAACCUUUUAAAUAUCAAAUAUUUAGUAAGGGGUCUUGUUAAAGCUUCAAACACUCACAGACAAUGUAGGUCUAAUUCCCUUUUGCUUGAACUUUUGGAAGAAAAUUGGCCCCCUAUCAUAUUACUAGAGCAUCAUUCAAGAGUUCAAAUAAUUACAAACUCUCUUCUUUCUAUUUUCUCUGAUAUCACGUUCUUGUGUUCUUGCCUCCCUGUUCUGUUCAGUGUGGUUAGGUCCAUUUCACAUGUCAAGCGCCACUUACAUGUGAGAUGGAGUGUCAAGAAAUAUGCCAUGCUUACGUUCUGAAAACCAUUUCAUGACAACUCAUGCAUUUUCAUAAUUUAAAAAAAAAAAAAAAAAAUUCUUCAUAUCACCUAGUUAUCCACGGAUCUUCUCAGUUUGAUAUAAGUACUGUCUUUUUCGUUUCCCUUUCUAGAAAUAUUGUACUUACCUCUUACCUUCCGUCGGAUCAUUCUACUAUAAUAUGCUUUUUGGUUACAUUGUGAUAUGGCUUUGCAUUUUUAAAUUUAAUGAAUAUCAUGCCUUUAUCAUUCUUUUAUAAAUGUCAAAGGUAAAUUUUCGUCCCUUGAUCUUUACUUAUUUAUGUAUUGAAAAGAAAAAAAUUCUCGAAGGUAAAAGAAGUACUCAUUUUCUUGUACAUUAUCUUUGUUGAAACAGCAUAUACAUGUAACAGAUAAAACAUUUGCCAUCGCCCUUUUCAACUAAAAUGAAGGCAGAACAGAGUGCACUAAAGCUAGAAUAUUGAACCAAUAAGUGAUAGUAUAAUUGCUUGAUUGUCAUAUCUCUUUUAGGAGUUCCAUUCUUUCUUUAAGAGCAUAUUCUCAAUGUAAGUUGAAUGUUCAAUGAAGCCAUCAUGUAUUCUUGGAGAAACCUCUAUAAAACCUAUUUUGAAUUUGAACAAAAGGUGGCUUUUCUGUUUCAAAUUGGAUAUAUACAUGAUCUGAAGUCUUAAUUAAUUAGAAACACUAAAAUGUAUGUAUUAGCUAUUUCAAAUUUCUAGGAACAUGGACUUCACUGUAAUCCUUUUAGGAAAACUUGGGCCAAGGUCGAAUUUCAAGAAGUUUGUGGGUUAGGGAAAGUGCUCCCCCCCCCCCCCCCCCACCCCAAAAAAAAAAUAAAAAAAUAAAAAAGUAAAAUCCAUCCCUUGCUUGUUUCUUCCUUUGCAUUUCAAUUUAGGUGUUACUCGUGCGGUGGUAUAAGUAACCAAUUCAAUUGGUGCACUUCCUAAUAUCAUGGUUCAGCUGCUGCUUACCGUCUAAGUACAUCAUGACUUAUCAAAGCAUUCGACAUUGAAUUAGAGCAUGGUUAUGCACAUCCUGGUUCUAAGCAGCAUAUGCUAAUUCAGUAUGCCAAAUACUUGACCAUAUACCACAUAUACAGUAUGUUGUCUCAGCUAUAGUAAGUGAUGAACACAGUAUCUUCAAUAACCAUGCAGGG
Molecule: long non-coding RNA, 2265 nt
Filed under: Eucalyptus grandis
Lineage: Eukaryota; Viridiplantae; Streptophyta; Magnoliopsida; Myrtales; Myrtaceae
Description: long non-coding RNA (EGRA_LNC005379)
Source: RNAcentral